AUUGAACGCUGGCGGCAGGCCUAACACAUGCAAGUCGAACGGUAACAGGAAGAAGCUUGCUUCUUUGCUGACGAGUGGCGGACGGGUGAGUAAUGUCUGGGAAACUGCCUGAUGGAGGGGGAUAACUACUGGAAACGGUAGCUAAUACCGCAUAACGUCGCAAGACCAAAGAGGGGGACCUUCGGGCCUCUUGCCAUCGGAUGUGCCCAGAUGGGAUUAGCUAGUAGGUGGGGUAACGGCUCACCUAGGCGACGAUCCCUAGCUGGUCUGAGAGGAUGACCAGCCACACUGGAACUGAGACACGGUCCAGACUCCUACGGGAGGCAGCAGUGGGGAAUAUUGCACAAUGGGCGCAAGCCUGAUGCAGCCAUGCCGCGUGUAUGAAGAAGGCCUUCGGGUUGUAAAGUACUUUCAGCGGGGAGGAAGGGAGUAAAGUUAAUACCUUUGCUCAUUGACGUUACCCGCAGAAGAAGCACCGGCUAAAUCCGG
Molecule: ribosomal RNA, 489 nt
Filed under: uncultured bacterium
Lineage: Bacteria
Description: partial 16S ribosomal RNA
Rfam family: Bacterial small subunit ribosomal RNA
Source: RNAcentral